Molecule: long non-coding RNA, 2449 nt
Organism: Cavia porcellus (domestic guinea pig)
Lineage: Eukaryota; Metazoa; Chordata; Mammalia; Rodentia; Caviidae
Source: Ensembl
GCCGCUGGUUGGCUCGCGCACCGCCCUCGCCUCCAAUCCCCAGUGCCUGUCCUAAUUUCCUGAUCCUGGGAACCUGCCGCCGCAGCAGCUGUGCGCUCCCUACAGUCAUUACUGUACCCUCCCGGCUGCCGCCGACAGUAAAUGCAGCAGGAGCAGUUAGCGCUGAUGCAACUAUUGCUGCAGUUGCUCUGGCCUCCCCACUAACGGGACUUGCCGCUCGCGAGGGUGGGGUGCAGCUUCCAGGGACAGCAAACAUCUUUGUGUCACCCUGUCCUGCGCCCCUCAAAGAGGCUGGUACUGAGAGGCCGCGUCUUAAAAUCUCCAGACAAGCCUAGAAGGAUAAAAGUAUUGGAUCUCUACUCUACUAUACCAAUGUUGGGAAGCAGGCCUGGGCGUGAGCAUUUUGAGGCUCCAGAUUGCAUGGUUAUAGAAAAAACUAUUGUAUGAACCAGAGAGGGUAACUGACGCCAAAGACAUGACUGCAGCAUCCACUUAAAGGCAUGACCUCCUAAAUGAGAAGCAUGUUCAGUUCGAUGGAGGGAGCCAGACACAUGCAAGACAUGUACAACUGGGAAGCUGGAAGAGCAUUGGGUCAGAGAACAGCUCAACAGCAAAGAUCUGCUAGAAGCAAGGACAUCUCAGUCAAGGCUGGGACAAAGGCAGCAUCCCAGGAAGUACAAGAUGUGCCUGUCUCCAUUUCCCUGAUACUUCACUGUGGACUGCAGAUGAAGGAUAAACAAACAACCACUCAUCUUUGCUUGAAAGGCCCACGAGGCCAAAACAGGGCUGAUGACCCACAUGGAGGUAUUAACAAGUCUUAAAUCCUAUUCUCUCAAUAUAGCACAGAGCUAUCACUGAGUUAAUAAAGAUAAAGCCGAUGAAAUAAAGUCUAUGAAAACUUCCCAAGUUUGGUCCUUCCUAGCCAAGUUUGCUUUGGGAGGUGACUGUACUAUCAUCUUCAGUCCUCAAGACUUUUCCCCAUUCUCCAGACCAACUCCUUGCCAUGGAAUCCUCUUCAUGAUUCACUCAGCAGAGCCUCUUCAAAAGGAAAACAAGUUUGCUGACUGGGCUGCCUUUCCUGAGUGGGAGGAGUAAGAGUAGUGCCUUGGUUACCUAUGAAUCAUCAAAAAAAAAGAAAAUACAAGUCAGACCAUGCUCCCUCUUAGCCAACCAUGGCCUAUGAAGACCAGAGCUCUGGUGCAGAAUAUCAUUGGCCCAUCAGUCUCAAGGCCACCUCUCAGUUCCACAUGUACCAUAAGUGCACAAAGUCACCAAACUGAACGCUAUUAAAUUUAUCACUGGUCUGCUUUCUUAGUUAGGGUUUACUAAAAGAACAGAUUUAACAUACAAUAUGAAAUCAAGGGUGUAAGAAUGCAAAGUGCCUGUCUGCAUACUGCAGGGCCGGAAGAGCCAGUUGAAGAUUGAAGGCCUGCAUCUCACCACAGAAUUCAGGAUGAGUCUGUGUUACAAAAAACAAAAGGGUCUGCAUUUGAAAGCUGAAGAGUCUGCACUGGAAGCCUCAAGGAAUUGAAGAUGAACAUCUACGGGAAUGACAAAGACUGGAGCUCCUCAAAGAAAGAAAGGGAAGAUUUAGUUAUUUUCCUCCUCAUUCUGUCUAGGCUAUAAGCCAGUUGGUUGGUGCAACUCACAUCUGAGAUGGAUCUUUCUCCUCAGUUUGGUCUAUGUAUCAAUUAUCCUCAGACACACCCAGCGCUUUUGUAAUCUGCUAGGUAUUUCUUAUUCAAGUCAAGCUGACAUCACAGUGAUCACAUCUGCCUUUUGUAGAAACUGCUGGGAAUUCAUAUUUCUGCCCGUUUCCUAACAUAUGAGCCUUCCUUUCAUCUCUUAAAACAUUUCUGCCCACUCUCACAUCACCAUGCAUCUAAAGAUGUCUAGCCCUCUGCUAUUUUAUGUAUAUUUGUCCUUCAUCCAGAGGCAUUGGUAGCAGAGCCUAACUUCUUGGGAAUGCAUCCCAGCUGUUUCACUUUAAAACAUGGACUCCACUAAUGACAACAACUUGUGGCUCAGUUUCUACAGUUGUUAAAUGAAGAUUUACCACCUUUUCUUCCAAAAUUUCCGUGGGCUUCUAAUUUAUCAGUGUGCAUUCCUGAUCCUAUCUGAACUAUUUCCCACACAGACUCACAUUUGUGGAUCCACAAGCCUGGCCAUCGUGAUAUUCAAGACUCAUUCUUCACUUGGUCUUAUAUACUGCGUAAAAAGUCAUCAAAGUGUAUCUAUUGUUUAUGUCUGGAUACUAUGCUUCAAAAACUAUUUACUUAAAAUUUUUUCAGUUAUGUCACAACUACUUCACUAGACAGGACUUACUUUUUUUACUCUGCUCUCCCCUUCCCUUUAAAGAAUUAUACAUAUACACUUUAAUAAAAAGUAAAAUAAAACAACAAACAAAUGAAAAUUUAAAAUGAUGCAUGCACAUUCUCAGCACCUGGAG